This 472-nucleotide ribosomal RNA is filed under the name Actinomycetales foal25. RNAcentral's name for it is "bacterial SSU rRNA". It matches the Rfam family "Bacterial small subunit ribosomal RNA", at positions 31 to 501 of the family's 1533-position model. Lineage: Bacteria; Bacillati; Actinomycetota; Actinomycetes; Actinomycetales. The record is from RNAcentral.
GAACGCUAGCGGCAGGCCUAACACAUGCAAGUCGAGGGGUAGAGACUAGCUUGCUGCUUUGAGACCGGCGCACGGGUGCGUAACGCGUAUGCAAUCUACCUUAUACUAAGGGAUAGCCCGGAGAAAUCCGGAUUAAUACCUUAUGGUUUUUAUGAAUAGCAUUAUUUAUAGAAUAAAGAUUUAUCGGUAUAAGAUGAGCAUGCGUCCCAUUAGUUAGUUGGUGUGGUAACGGCACACCAAGACGAUGAUGGGUAGGGGUCCUGAGAGGGAGAUCCCCCACACUGGUACUGAGACACGGACCAGACUCCUACGGGAGGCAGCAGUGAGGAAUAUUGGUCAAUGGAGGCAACUCUGAACCAGCCAUGCCGCGUGCAGGAUGACGGUCCUAUGGAUUGUAAACUGCUUUUGUACGGGAAGAAAAAGAGCUACGUGUAGUUUAUUGACGGUACCGUAAGAAUAAGGAUCGGCUAAC